AUGGUACGGUCAUCUCGAGGCAAAGUUGGGCCAGCGGCCGUGCUGGGGAGAGUUUCAAACACUCAUCUCUAACCACUUUGGACCGCCGACACACGCCAACCCCUUUGGCGAGCUGAUCUUCACCGCCGCUCCGGCACCGUGGCGGAGUACUCCAAGCGUUUCCUUGAGAAUCUCUCUCGUGUGCACCCAAUUGCCGACGCCGAGGAGCGUGAUAUCUUCACCAACAAUGGCGAGCCCAUGAAAACUCAGGUCGAGAUGCUUAAACCUGCGACUCUAGACGUGGCUAUGGACUUGGCAAUUUUGUUUGAGCACCUCAACACUGUCACCGGAGCCACGGCCGCCGCUGCUCGGCCGAGCCGCCAAAUUCGCCCCAUGGCCAACCCUGGUGCGGUAUUGUCUGAAUCCUCCAGCUCCACGCCGCCGCUCGUAUUCAAAAAGCUCACCCUGGCUGAGAUGGACGACCGGCGCGCCAAAGGCCUUUGCUUCAACUGCGACGAGAAGUUCAUUCGGGGCCAUCGCUGCAAACGUCUUUUCUACAUCCAGUCAGCAGACGAAGAAGAAUAGCCAUUAGCGGAUUUCCAGGAGGCCACAAUCUCGCUUCUGGCUGUCACAGGGAUUCCCACUAGCGACACCACGCAGGUCGCUCUUCGCGUCGGGGAUCGUGACCUCGUCGCCUUGCUUGAUUCCGGUAGCACUCAUAACUUCAUCCACGAGGAGCUGGCCAAUGUCGUGGGGCUGCCCUUCUCCUCCGGCCGCUGCCUC
RNAcentral lists this ribosomal RNA (762 nucleotides) under Triticum aestivum (bread wheat). RNAcentral's name for it is "partial small subunit ribosomal RNA". Lineage: Eukaryota; Viridiplantae; Streptophyta; Magnoliopsida; Poales; Poaceae. The record is from RNAcentral.